GGUGCUGUGGUCUAGUGGUAUGACGUCGCGUUGUGGCCGCGCCAGCCCCGGUUCGAUUCCGGGCAGCGCCA
Transfer RNA from Aspergillus ruber CBS 135680, 71 nucleotides. It matches the Rfam family "tRNA". From Rfam's summary of the family: Transfer RNA (tRNA) molecules are approximately 80 nucleotides in length. Their secondary structure includes four short double-helical elements and three loops (D, anti-codon, and T loops). Lineage: Eukaryota; Fungi; Ascomycota; Eurotiomycetes; Eurotiales; Aspergillaceae. The record is from Rfam.